UUGCCUGGUUACGGCUUUCGGCUUCUGGCUCGGGUCUGGCGCUCUGAGCGGGUUUUAAGCUUCGGCAGCCCCCUGUGGAGCGUCGCGGGGCGUCCCCGCCCAGGCGGGGAGCCCGGCCCGCAGGCGCCCGCCUGCACUGCGCACGCGGCCGGGUCUCGUGAGCCGCGCCGGGACUGUCCACUCUUCGUCUGUCGCGUCCUCCGCGCCGGCCCACCCCGGCCGGAGCGCUUGGCCCUGUCGAGCGGACGCCAGUGUGGAGCGAGCCCCGGCGCUUGGGCGGCCCCCGAGCUCCCCAGAGACCCGGCGAGGCUGGUGGGGUCAGCCUCCGGCCCCUCCCGUCGCCUUACCUGGUCCCCGGUGCCACCCAGGCCGGGCGCCGUCUAAGCCCUGCCGAAGAGGCGGGUGCUGUCGUUUGUAUCCUCAUCUUCGGAGUUGGAAAGGGUUUACCGAAGACAGCAGGUGCUUCGCCAGUGCUCCUGGAGCUGACUGUAUUGGAAUGACAGAGAAUGCUGCUUUUUCAAGCUCUGUGGUUGAACCCCACCACUAUGUUGCUCUGUAACAUAGAGGCUCUGUGUUCUGUUUCAUCUCACCUCCACGGGCGCCACUGGUGGGCAGCGUGGCCAGGUGUGGCCGGGGAGGAUGUCGCUCCAGAUAUUAGGAACAAUCCACAAGUUCAAGGUUGUGUAAAGAACACCAAAAAUCUGUGUCGGAGGCACUUCACACAUUCGGCGCCUGUUGUGCGUGAGCAGAGCUGUGGUCGAGCAGACUUGCAACCCCCUGGAGCCUGGGUUUCUCUGUCUGAAUGUGUGAUGGGAACAGCGCCUGUUGAAGGGCUGCUGCCGGGCCUAGAAAGGUCCCCUCUCUGCCCACAAGGACACUAAUGUACAGUUACCUCCAGCCCAACAGCUGCCAAGUGGAAGGUGGAAACACAAAACAACAAAAGUCAGGAAUGACAUCGGGGUGGACUAGCGUGGCAGCACUCAAGCCAUCUUUACACUGCAGAUGCAAGGAACAGCAUCUCCCAGAAUGUGUCCCGCUGGCCCAAGAAUAGGUCCAUUUGGGAAACCCUGCACAUACCGUAGAGACUCCUGCUACCCACGAGUCCUCAGGGCCUGAGAAGUCCUGCAGUGGAGAUCCUGUUUCUCCCAGACCCAGGGCUUCCCAAACCCAUGAACCUCCACCAGUCACUCUUUGGGAUACGGUCGCCUAGCGGCCAAGCUGGAUCACCCUGUCUAGGUUUCAUUUCAAAUUAGUUUUGCAGAAUAACAUAUUGGUGUUUUGCCAAGGACUUCUGUUGGGGGCAGUCCCUGAGAAGCCACAUGUGGAGCUCUCCCUCUUUGGUCUGUGUGACAGCCCCAUCCCUCCUGCAGAGCUCCUCGGGUGGUUUGUGGAUUGGGCCAGGCCACAGUUGGUCCACAGUGAGAUUCAGAACCACACAGAAUGAGAAUCAGCUCCACCGCUGGGCACACAGUCUAGUUUCACGGGCGAUUCCUGGAAGGGAGACUUUGUGGGUGAAGGAAGCAGUGGGCUGUUGACCCUUUGAGCAGCCGAAGGGCUACAACCCUCCCCUCCUGCACCGGGCAGCCCUGCCCAGGGCUGAACCUGUGGCUGUGGUGGUGUGUCCCUGCAGGCGCCUUCUCUGCUUUGGCAACGACACGGAGCCAGACACACGCCAUGAUGUGCCUUGUGUUUUCCUCACUGGAGACAGGUGCCUGGAGGUCCCCUUGACAUUUUUUUGAGGUCUAAGCCUGCACUCUCCAACACAGUAGCCGUGAGAUUCAUGCGGUCACUGGCCUCCGAAAAUACCAAGGUGUGCUAUGAGUGAAAUGCACACUGGAUUUCAAAGACAUGGUCCAAAAAAAAACCCAAACAAUGUAAAAUAUCACAUUCGAAUAUUUAUAUUGGUUACGUGUGGAAAUGACCCAUAUUUUGGUAUAUUGGAUUAACUAAGAUGUGUUAUUAAAAUAAGCUCCAUGUG
Non-coding RNA from Microcebus murinus (gray mouse lemur), 1978 nucleotides. Lineage: Eukaryota; Metazoa; Chordata; Mammalia; Primates; Cheirogaleidae. The record is from RefSeq and is a predicted model, not a curated record.